UACGCUGCCCACAACUACUACACUGAAGCUUCGAAGUGCUACACCAUAAAUGUACAACCAAUUUGCAAGCAAGGUUAUGUGACGACGUGCUGCUGUUAAAUCUUGUAUCUUUGAUGCAUAUGACCGUUGGUGUAGUGAUGUUUCCUGGGUAUGGCGGAUAUUAAACCGCAACGCUACUGUCUUGCUACACAACAACAAUCUUAACGACCUGUUACUACACCGAAAAGGCUGAAUAUUACACAAGGACGUACACUACCCCAGUUUACUACACCGAAGAGCCUGAGCAUUACUCUGCUCCGAGCUACAACGGAGGCUCCUGUUUACUACACCACCAUCGCCCCCGAGUGCUACUACACCACGUUGCCCCCAACCGCUACAAAGCGAAGUACUACACCAUCGAAGGAAAUCAAUUCGCAUUCACGGAUUACUAUGGUGUUGUGCUGCUGUCGGGUGUUGUAUCGUUGAUGGUUGGGUGGAUUAUGAGUGUACCGAUGUCUCCUGGGUAUGGUGGUUUUCAAGUACUAGCAGCUAUAGAAUCACCACGUUGCUGUCUUACUAUUUAACAACGUCGCCAUACGCAACACCUACUUACUACACUGAUGCUCGUAAAUACUGCACCUCCAAGGCUCCAAGAGUACUACACGAAUAUCUACGCUGCUCCGAGCUACACUGAGGCUGUAGCUUAUUAAUCCACAAAGCGGCCGAGUACCGAGGGUUUCCAAGUACUACACUUCAACCUACUGCAGAGCAGUAGUUAUCAACAACUGCCAUAAUCGUAUGAAAUAUUCGCAACCGUUGGUAAAUAUUAUAUUUUAAUUCGAAUCGAAAAUCAGUGUUAUCGUUGUUGUAAAU
RNAcentral lists this long non-coding RNA (852 nucleotides) under Daphnia pulicaria. RNAcentral describes it as "uncharacterized LOC124341715, transcript variant X2". Lineage: Eukaryota; Metazoa; Arthropoda; Branchiopoda; Diplostraca; Daphniidae. The record is from RNAcentral.